This 468-nucleotide ribosomal RNA is filed under the name uncultured bacterium. RNAcentral describes it as "partial 16S ribosomal RNA". It matches the Rfam family "Bacterial small subunit ribosomal RNA", at positions 28 to 507 of the family's 1533-position model. The record is from RNAcentral.
GAUGAACGCUGGCGGCGUGCUUAACACAUGCAAGUCGAACGGUGAAGGCGGAGCUUGCUCUGCUGGAUCAGUGGCGAACGGGUGAGUAGCACGUGAGCAAUCUGCCCCUGACUCUGGGAUAAGCGCUGGAAACGGCGUCUAAUACUGGAUACGAGCUGCGAAGGCAUCUUCAGCAGCUGGAAAGAACUUCGGUCAGGGAUGAGCUCGCGGCCUAUCAGCUUGUUGGUGAGGUAACGGCUCACCAAGGCGUCGACGGGUAGCCGGCCUGAGAGGGUGACCGGCCACACUGGGACUGAGACACGGCCCAGACUCCUACGGGAGGCAGCAGUGGGGAAUAUUGCACAAUGGGCGAAAGCCUGAUGCAGCAACGCCGCGUGAGGGACGACGGCCUUCGGGUUGUAAACCUCUUUUAGCAGGGAAGAAGCGAAAGUGACGGUACCUGCAGAAAAAGCGCCGGCUAAUUACGUG